RNAcentral lists this unclassified non-coding RNA (284 nucleotides) under Lyomyces erastii. RNAcentral describes it as "partial internal transcribed spacer region". The stretch from base 1 to 46 matches the Rfam family "Eukaryotic small subunit ribosomal RNA", at positions 1786 to 1831 of the family's 1831-position model. Lineage: Eukaryota; Fungi; Basidiomycota; Agaricomycetes; Hymenochaetales; Schizoporaceae. The record is from RNAcentral.
AAGUCGUAACAAGGUUUCCGUAGGUGAACCUGCGGAAGGAUCAUAUAAUGAAUUUGAACAGGACUUGAUGCUGGUCUCCUCGGAGGCAUGUGCUCAGUUCUAAUCAUUCCAUUCAACACCUGUGCACUUUCAAAGCUGUAGUCCUCCGUCAUGGGAGCCGCGUCUUGUAAUGAGAUGCUGGGAUUACACUUUGCCCUUAUCAUAAACUCUAUUAAAGUCUGUAGAAUGUUAAUAGCCUAAAGGCUUAAUCUAUACAACUUUCAACAACGGAUCUCUUGGCUCUC